CCCUUAGAUGUUCUGGGCCGCACGCGCGCUACACUGACUACUUCAACGAGUUGUUUCCUUGAUCGAAAGGUCUGGGUAAUCUUUGAAAGGUAGUCGUGAUGGGGAUAGAUCCUUGCAAUUUUUGAUCUUCAACGAGGAAUUCCUAGUAAACGCAAGUCAUCAGCCUGCAUUGAUUACGUCCCUGCCCUUUGUACACACCGCCCGUCGCACCUACCGAUUGAAUGGUCCGGUGAAUCUUUAGGACUGUGGCUGAGGCCUUGCCUUGUGCGGGUCUGGCCGUGGGAAUUUAGUUAAACCUUACCAUUUAGAGGAAGGUGAAGUCGUAACA
RNAcentral lists this ribosomal RNA (328 nucleotides) under uncultured eukaryote. RNAcentral's name for it is "partial 18S ribosomal RNA". It matches the Rfam family "Eukaryotic small subunit ribosomal RNA", at positions 1470 to 1796 of the family's 1831-position model. The record is from RNAcentral.